GAACUAACAUAAACAAAUUGGAUACGCUUUUUCCUAAAGACAAUCGAUAAUAUUAAGGCUUUGAAUGGAUGCAACAAAUAAAGCGGUCUAAUUUGUUUGCGGUCUAGUCCACUUCAUUUUUGAAGCGGAUAAUAAACCGCUGCAAACCAAGUUUAUUUGUACGUAAAAACGGUCUGCAGAUGGUCCGCUGCGGUUUUCUUCUAUUUUUUUGGUCUGUAUCACUUAGAACUAUAAUUGAUGAAUGAUAAAUAAAAAGUGGUUUGAUCCGUUGACGGUUUUGUCCGCCCCAACCGCUGUAACCAUUCAAACCCUAAGUAAAAAGCUAUAUAUGUAGAUGGGCCUAGAAUAUCCCAUCACUAGCUUGGAUCCUUUUUGGAUUUUGCCAAAUCCAAAAGGAAUUAAUAGUGACAAGCUAGCGCCUAGCGGUGGUCUAGUGAUGGUGGGGUGUCUUAAAGGAAGUAUAGACAUGGGGCAAAGGACCA
RNAcentral lists this small RNA (482 nucleotides) under Arabidopsis thaliana (thale cress). RNAcentral describes it as "ATSL289140". The record is from RNAcentral. Lineage: Eukaryota; Viridiplantae; Streptophyta; Magnoliopsida; Brassicales; Brassicaceae.